RNAcentral lists this ribosomal RNA (478 nucleotides) under uncultured organism. Its description in RNAcentral is "partial 16S ribosomal RNA". It matches the Rfam family "Bacterial small subunit ribosomal RNA", at positions 330 to 799 of the family's 1533-position model. The record is from RNAcentral.
CGUACACUCCUGCGGGAGGCAGCAGUGGGGAAUAUUGCACAAUGGGCGCAAGCCUGAUGCAGCCAUGCCGCGUGUAUGAAGAAGGCCUUCGGGUUGUAAAGUACUUUCAGCGGGGAGGAAGGCGAUAAGGUUAAUAACCUUGUUGAUUGACGUUACCCGCAGAAGAAGCACCGGCUAACUCCGUGCCAGCAGCCGCGGUAAUACGGAGGGUGCAAGCGUUAAUCGGAAUUACUGGGCGUAAAGCGCACGCAGGCGGUCUGUCAAGUCGGAUGUGAAAUCCCCGGGCUCAACCUGGGAACUGCAUUCGAAACUGGCAGGCUAGAGUCUUGUAGAGGGGGGUAGAAUUCCAGGUGUAGCGGUGAAAUGCGUAGAGAUCUGGAGGAAUACCGGUGGCGAAGGCGGCCCCCUGGACAAAGACUGACGCUCAGGUGCGAAAGCGUGGGGAGCAAACAGGAUUAGAAACCCUUGUAGUCCCAUG